Small nucleolar RNA from Erinaceus europaeus (western European hedgehog), 131 nucleotides. Its record names the gene SNORA70. It matches the Rfam family "Small nucleolar RNA SNORA70". From Rfam's summary of the family: snoRNA U70 seems to be exclusive to mammals and is a member of the H/ACA class of snoRNA which contain H (ANANNA) and ACA box motifs. The record is from Ensembl. NCBI's taxonomy places the organism in Eukaryota, Metazoa, Chordata, Mammalia, Eulipotyphla, Erinaceidae.
CUGCAGUCAAUGAAGCUGACCGUGCUGCCCUCCCCAUGGCGCCCCGUGUGCAGUGGCUGCCAACAGCAGCCGCCUGGCCGUGUGUGCAGCUGUUGCUUGUAUAGCUGCUCUGAGGGGCCCUGGAGAUAGCC